RNAcentral lists this ribosomal RNA (433 nucleotides) under uncultured bacterium. Its description in RNAcentral is "partial 16S ribosomal RNA". It matches the Rfam family "Bacterial small subunit ribosomal RNA", at positions 29 to 507 of the family's 1533-position model. The record is from RNAcentral.
AACGAACGCUGGCGGCAUGCCUAACACAUGCAAGUCGAACGAGACCUUCGGGUCUAGUGGCGCACGGGUGCGUAACGCGUGGGAACCUGCCCUUAGGUUCGGAAUAACUCCCCGAAAGGGGUGCUAAUACCGGAUAAUGUCUUCGGACCAAAGAUUUAUCGCCUUUGGAUGGGCCCGCGUUGGAUUAGCUAGUUGGUAGGGUAAAAGCCUACCAAGGCGACGAUCCAUAGCUGGUCUGAGAGGAUGAUCAGCCACACUGGGACUGAGACACGGCCCAGACUCCAACGGGAGGAAGCAGUGGGGAAUAUUGGACAAUGAGCGAAAGCCUGAUCCAGAAGUGCCGCGUGAGUGAUGAAAGCCUUAGGGUUGUAAGGCUCUUUUACCCGGGAUGAUAAUGACAGUACCGGGAGAAUAAGCUCCGGCUAACUCCAUG